RNAcentral lists this ribosomal RNA (427 nucleotides) under uncultured bacterium. Its description in RNAcentral is "partial 16S ribosomal RNA". It matches the Rfam family "Bacterial small subunit ribosomal RNA", at positions 355 to 774 of the family's 1533-position model. The record is from RNAcentral.
UGGGGAAUAUUGCACAAUGGGCGCAAGCCUGAUGCAGCCAUGCCGCGUGUAUGAAGAAGGCCUUCGGGUUGUAAAGUACUUUCAGCGGGGAGGAAGGUGUUGUGGUUAAUAACCACAGCAAUUGACGUUACCCGCAGAAGAAGCACCGGCUAACUCCGUGCCAGCAGCCGCGGUAAUACGGAGGGUGCAAGUGUUAAUCGGAAUUACUGGGCGUAAAGCGCACGCAGGCGGUCUGUCAAGUCGGAUGUGAAAUCCCCGGGCUCAACCUGGGAACUGCAUUCGAAACUGGCAGGCUAGAGUCUUGUAGAGGGGGGUAGAAUUCCAGGUGUAGCGGUGAAAUGCGUAGAGAUCUGGAGGAAUACCGGUGGCGAAGGCGGCCCCCUGGACAAAGACUGACGCUCAGGUGCGAAAGCGUGGGGAGCAAACA